AGCGCUGGAGGUGCCUCUGCUGAGAGUGCUUGCUAAUCGGGAGUUACAAUACCUAGGGCAAGCCAGACAGGAACCCUGGGCGUAAUUCGUGGGAGGUCAACGUUUCAGAAGUUAGGCUGUAUCGGUUUUUUGUAACUUUCAUUUCACUCUUCGCAUGUUUUUUCCGCGCCCCGUGUUCCGUCGGAGUUGUGUCGCCAACUCUCUCCUGUUUUAACAAGCGCUGGCUUGGGUGAUACCCUUUUUAAGUGUACUAAAUGAUCAUGGAGAGGAAGAGGAUGGACUGCCCGGCUCUGCCACCGGGUUGGAAGAAAGAAGAAGUGAUCCGGAAGUCGGGGCUUAGCGCUGGCAAGAGCGAUGUCUACUACUACAGUCCUACUGGCAAGAAGUUCAGGAGCAAGCCCCAACUGUCUCGGUACCUGGGGAACACAGUCGACCUCGGCUGCUUUGAUUUCCGCACUGGCAAGAUGAUGCCCAGCAAGCUACAGAAGAACAAGCAGAGGCUACGCAAUGAUAACCUCAGUCAAACCAAGGGAAAGCCAGACUUAAACACCGCACUUCCUAUAAGACAGACGGCCUCCAUUUUCAAACAGCCGGUGACCAAAGUCGUGAAUCACCCAAGUAACAAAGUGAAGUCAGACCCUCAGAGAGCAACUGAACAACCACGACAGCUUUUCUGGGAAAAGAGGUUGAAAGGCUUGCGGUCAUGUGAUGUAACAGAAGAGGUUCUGAAAACCAUGGAGCUUCCAAAGGGUCUACAAGGAGUUGGUCCUGACACAACAGACGAGACACUUCUCUCUGCUAUAGCCAGCGCUCUGCACACAAGUUCCUCCCCAAUAACAGGCCAGACGUGUAACGCUGUAGAGAAGAACCCAGCUGUGUGGCUAAACACAUCGCAGCCCCUCUGCAAAGCCUUCAUUGUCACAGAUGAUGACAUCCGAAAACAAGAGGAGAGGGUGCAGCAGGUACGGAAGAAGCUGGAGGAAGCACUCAUGGCAGACGGUUUGGCGCGGGCCGCUGAAUCGACACAGGACAUGAGCAUAGAAAACAAAGCCAACACAUAGGACCCGGAGAAGUAGACAAAAGGUUUUUAGAAUCUUGUAGAGUGAAGCUUGCCUUCAUAUCCGUAAGCAGAUCUGGGAUGUCAUGAGGCAGUUUGCUCCAAUUGAAAGUUGCAUGCUGAGAUCAGUUUCAGUGGAGGGGCUUGAUUGACAUCAUGAGGUUUCCACCUGAAUGCUCGAUUCUACAGACUCUUAUUUUUGCACCAGAAGCAGGUUCCCCAAAAAAACUGAAGACAAAACAGAGAUCAGUCAUCAGUCUGCAGAAGCAGAAAGGACCCACGUACAUUCUAACAGCUUUCUAAUAAAUAGAUUAAACCAAUGCCUUUUUGACUAUAAUGUUUUUAUGUACAUAUCUAUAUAUAUAAUUUCAGAACAAUGUUUAUUUUGUGUCCAAAUUAUGGAUUUAAAUAUUCUUUUUUAAAGAUUAUUGAGCAAUACUUUGAAAUUUUGAAAACAUUUCUUAUGUCAGGUUGCAAUCUGCUGGAUUUGUAUUGCUAACUUUAUUUUUAUUUUUAUUUUUUUUGUUGGCUCUAAGGGAUUUGUUGUCGUCAGGGUUUGUAACAGAUUAAUAAUUUCAGAACAUGAAACUGCUUAUUUAAGAAGAUUUUUAUACCUUCAGAGAGAAACUACCUGUACAUUCUUGCAUCACAGUGGAAUAAUUAAAUGAUUAUAUUCACUAA
Lepisosteus oculatus (spotted gar) is the source of this 1738-nucleotide RNA transcript. It is a transcript of the gene named methyl-CpG binding domain protein 2, with no coding region annotated. The record is from RefSeq and is a predicted model, not a curated record. NCBI's taxonomy places the organism in Eukaryota, Metazoa, Chordata, Actinopteri, Semionotiformes, Lepisosteidae.